RNAcentral lists this transfer RNA (72 nucleotides) under Camelus bactrianus (Bactrian camel). It matches the Rfam family "tRNA". Rfam says of the family: Transfer RNA (tRNA) molecules are approximately 80 nucleotides in length. Their secondary structure includes four short double-helical elements and three loops (D, anti-codon, and T loops). Further hydrogen bonds mediate the characteristic L-shaped molecular structure. tRNAs have two regions of fundamental functional importance: the anti-codon, which is responsible for specific mRNA codon recognition, and the 3' end, to which the tRNAs corresponding amino acid is attached (by aminoacyl-tRNA synthetases). tRNAs cope with the degeneracy of the genetic code in two manners: having more than one tRNA (with a specific anti-codon) for a particular amino acid; and 'wobble' base-pairing, i.e. permitting non-standard base-pairing at the 3rd anti-codon position. Lineage: Eukaryota; Metazoa; Chordata; Mammalia; Artiodactyla; Camelidae. The record is from Rfam by way of RNAcentral. RNAcentral also lists the same sequence under 2 other names.
GAGAGUGUAGCUCAGUGGUAGAGUGCAUGCUUAACAUGCACGAGGUCCUGGGCUCAAACCCCAGUAUUGCCU